RNAcentral lists this ribosomal RNA (253 nucleotides) under uncultured bacterium. Its description in RNAcentral is "partial 16S ribosomal RNA". It matches the Rfam family "Bacterial small subunit ribosomal RNA", at positions 524 to 776 of the family's 1533-position model. The record is from RNAcentral.
UACGGAGGGGGCUAGCGUUGUUCGGAAUUACUGGGCGUAAAGCGCACGUAGGCGGACCUGAAAGUCAGAGGUGAAAUCCCGGGGCUCAACCCCGGAACGGCCUUUGAAACUCUGGGUCUUGAGGUCGAGAGAGGUGAGUGGAAUUCCGAGUGUAGAGGUGAAAUUCGUAGAUAUUCGGAGGAACACCAGUGGCGAAGGCGGCUCACUGGCUCGAUACUGACGCUGAGGUGCGAAAGAGUGGGGAGCAAACAGG